This 447-nucleotide ribosomal RNA is filed under the name uncultured bacterium. RNAcentral describes it as "partial 16S ribosomal RNA". It matches the Rfam family "Bacterial small subunit ribosomal RNA", at positions 29 to 523 of the family's 1533-position model. The record is from RNAcentral.
AGCGAACGCUGGCGGCAGGCUUAACACAUGCAAGUCGAACGCCCCGCAAGGGGAGUGGCAGCCGGGUGAGUAACACGUGGGAACGUACCCUUUGGUUCGGAAUAACUUGGGUAAACUCAAGCUAAUACCGGAUAAGCUCUUACGGGGAAAGGUUUACUGCCGAAGGAUCGGCCCGCGUCUGAUUAGCUAGUUGGUGAGGUAAUGGCUCACCAAGGCGACGAUCAGUAGCUGGUCUGAGAGGAUGAUCAGCCACACUGGGACUGAGACACGGCCCAGACUCCUACGGGAGGCAGCAGUGGGGAAUAUUGGACAAUGGGGGCAACCCUGAUCCAGCCAUGCCGCGUGAGUGAUGAAGGCCUUAGGGUUGUAAAGCUCUUUUACCCGGGACGAUAAUGACUGUACCGGGAGAAUAAGCCCCGGCUAACUUCGUGCCAGCCGCCGCGGUAA